RNAcentral lists this ribosomal RNA (46 nucleotides) under Rhizoplaca chrysoleuca. RNAcentral describes it as "partial 26S ribosomal RNA". Lineage: Eukaryota; Fungi; Ascomycota; Lecanoromycetes; Lecanorales; Lecanoraceae. The record is from RNAcentral.
UUGACCUCGGAUCAGGUAGGGAUACCCGCUGAACUUAAGCCUAAAA